AGAAGUGAGAGGAAGGGUGGAGCAGAGGAAGUGAGAACCCUCCAGAGAGGUGGAGCUGGACAGUUUUGCAGCUGUGCUGGUACCUGGAGCCUGGGCAGGCUGGGAGUCUGGCUUAACCCCACAGCCUACAUGCUGGCACCAAGUGGGGGUCAAGCCUAGGGCCCUCUGCUCCCAGGACAUAAGUGCCCCUCACUAUUUGGAUCUGAUGGAAGAACCAGAAUCCCAGCAGAAGUGCUGAGUCAUGUGGGGGAGUUUGCUGGCAUAACUUCUCCCCACCUGCGCCCAAGGCAUUGUUGAGAAAAGAAAGUCUGCUGCCACCCAAGAGACCCAGAGUCAGAACAACGGUGUGAUCUGAACAAGAUGAAGGGGUGGUUUCACGAUAAGAAUAAACUGCAGGCUUCUUCUGCUCCUUCUAGAGGCCUGAUAUCUCCACGGUAACUCCAGAAACUCCAAGAGGAGAUGAAGAGAAUCCAGGAAGUCACCAGCUGUGGUGAACAUUGUGCCUAACUCGACACUCUUUGUUUUGCCCAUUUCUGCUGCCACUCUAAGAAAAGCCAUUACGGGGUGAACUCCUGGGCUCCCAGGGCUGCUCCACGUCAACACCAAAUCUAGAAACCUCUGGUACUGGAUUUAACUACCCCUGGGGUUGCUAUGAAGAUGAAGUUCCAGGAUACUGGAAGGCCGAGGGUGGAAACCAAGUUAGUGACAAGUCAGGAGGAGAAGAUGGGGUGAGCUCUCUUGUAAAACAGAGCAGGGAGCUGGACCUACUGUUUCAGAGUGAGCAGGCGAUGGCAAGCAGGGAGACACACUGUGUCGCCGGCUCACACCCACUCCUGCCGCCUGCUGCCUGCGAUGGCCACGCCUCCUGAAAAGGCUGGAUUCAGGGUGGCCGCUCAACUUCGCAGCACCUGCUAUCUCCACUCUGUGCCCACUCCUUUGCCUGCCAUGUCUCCUACACACACUGAAAGGGCCCUAUCAAUUUCAUUUGGUUCAGAUCCAUUUCAAUGCUCAGAACCCUAAUGUGGUCUGCAGAGCUUGAAUCCAGAUGGCCUUGGGUUGCCUUGCACCAGCCCUGUACUGUGCUGGUCUCCCAGUCUGUUUUGACUCCUCGACCUGAGGCAAGAAUCUUCCAAUGACCUGGAUCCUCCUACUUAGAGAACGAGGAGGGCAGGUGAUGAGAAUAAGGGGGCUAUCAAUGGAAAAGUAGAGCAACAAGAUCUUACAAAUACAGGGAGAACGUCCAUAGAGCUUGCAGGGUUUUGUAGGGAUCAAGGGGCACAGUGGGUAGGUAGAAAGUUCCAGUCCCUAGGAAAUUAGAAAACUCUCCAUGUAUCGUCUCCACACUAACAGCACCAAGCAGCAGCCCACAGUCACCAACACCGGCUUCUGCUUACUGGUCAAGAGGAAGACAUCCCAGGGAGAUUUGAGAUUCGCGACAUAGCAGUUUGUGACUAUCAGGUGCUGACCUCUCUGAGAAGCACAAGGUGACACACCUCAACAUCCAGACACAUCUACAUGGUUUCCAGAGGGCAUCUCUAUGACAGGGGCCCUCCAAUGGCAGCAGGAGGCCCCUGCAUAUGGUUCAGGGAACCAGAUUCCUCUUGUGGGGCACAAAUGGAAUAUGAGGCAAUGCCACCAUUUAGGGGCCAGCACAGCGACUCAGGGAACAAGGAGCUUAGAGCAAAGCAAGUCACAUGCUGUUAAGGCUACGUGACUACUACAGCCUGCACAAGAUGUUGUCACCCACUUGUCAAGACUCCAGAGAAGCCAAAAUAAAGAAAAGAGCCCCUGGCAAACAAAAUGAUGCCUGAAACCCACAUACUAAGCUUCUGCCUGUCACCUAUGGGAAAGCCCUUGUCCCUGCCCCGUGGCCCAGCCACUGAAAGCCUAUUUACUUUAAUUUUAUAAACAAACUUGUUUAUUUAAUUUCUCAUCCCAGAGGAGUUGAAAAGGGCACUGGGAUUAAUAGUGGCAGGUUCCUAAAAGACUUCCAGAAGUGACAACUAGCAGCCAUGAAUUAGACCAGGGAUACACACAUUUUUUCUAUAAAGGGUCAGACAGUCAAUAAUUUUAGCUUUGCGACUACUCUACUCUGCUCUGUAGCACGAAAGCGGCCCCUGAUAAUAUGUAAAUGAGUGGGUAUGGCUAGGUGCCAAUGAAACUAGAUUUAUAAAAACAGACGACGGGGACGUAGGCUUUAGUUUUUUGAUCCCUUGAUUACACAAAAAGUAUCAAAACAUGAUAUUAAAACCACUGGAAAAGCACAGCAGUCUGGGGCUAUUUAGGACAGGGGCAAACAGCAGACACACCUCAACAGAUCUGACCAGUGUCCCCAGACUGUGGCCUGGGCUCAGGAUUCCUUGCACUGGUUAGAAAAGGCACUGUGUAUUUUAGGAAGAUUUCCACUGAAUGGUCAACAUUUUCAGAGGGCUGAUACUUAAAGGUAUAAGGUGGCAAAGUCACUUACUGGGGAAACCCCUCAUUCUUCAGCAAUGGGAGAAAUGAGACGCAUUGUGCGGGUGACGAGCUGAGUUACACAUGUCUGGACCAAGUGGGGAGUGCUGUGCCCCAGAGGGUCAAGAGCCAGACAUCUCGCCAUCACCCUGGAGACCUGCUUAGCACAGAGACAAACAGAUGAACCUAGAAACCCAGUCAUCGCCCUGCUAAAUGGAAACAGAGAACAGCAGCAAGGUGGAGGGUGCCACCUCAAAGGUGCUCCGACCCAGGCCGCUUGUCUGCACACAACUAGCAUUUGCUGUCACCCUGCUUCAUUUGUCACCUCGAUGUUAUGGGACUUUGCAUUCUAUUGUGCACUUUUUCCCCUCUGUUUGUUUAUGGUUGGUCUUCCUUGCUGACUACCGAAUGGCUGGCACACAGAACAGUUCCAACAGCACCUGGCACGCAGUAGGUGCCCAGUAAAAAGUGUCUGUGGAGUGCGGAUGAAUGGAGUUAUUAAUGGAUGCUUGUCUUUUCCUGGCUUUUCUGAUUUCUGGCCCCUCUCAUGAUUGGGCUCUCAAUACCUGAAAUAAGAAAUGGGGAGUGGGAGGAAGUGGCACUUGCUGAGCACCUGCCAUGGCCAUGCCGAAUGCGCUACACGCGCUGCCUCCCUUCAGGCCCAGAGUGGACCCUCUGGCGGCAGGCCUCCCAGGACUGAGACCUCGAGGGGGGGUCUUAUCUGAGGUCACGGGACUUGUGUCCGGGUCUGUCUGACUGUGGAUUUUGCUUUGGCAUACUAUGCCCCACUCUGGGGACAGUAACCAGCUUCUGCCCUUGAACUCAGUCCUUACGUUCUAGCUGGAGCCCGCCAGCCACUGGGAAAUGAUGGCAGAAGUGGAAAAAGAGGCUGAGGAGCUGAUGAUGGAUAGGGAGGGUGGCUUCUGUAGAGCUAGCAUUCUAGAGGUUUCUGACACCUGCCAUGAGGAGGAACACUCCAGAACCCCCAUGAUGUUGGAAAGCCCAGUUCAGACGCUCCCCAUCCCCUUGGCAAAAGGCCCAAGCAUCCAAAUGGCCCUACUCAACGGUUGGAAAGAGGGAGCGGGCAUGGUCACUGAGUCUCCCUGGGAAGUCCCAGACCAAGAGGUCACAGCCAUGAGGGGACCACUUUUCCAGACCAGUGGGGUACAGAUUGGGUUGUACUUCAGGUAAUUGAGUAGCUUCAACAUCUGAGCUUCUCAAGAAAGCCAGGCCUACUGUCAACCAGGAGAUGACAGCCAAGACGCCUCUGCAGAAGAUGCAAGCGGCAAAGCCACGGCGCGGACCAUUCCACAGAAAGCAUUGGAGGCCUCCCAGGAACGCGUCAGGGGACAGGGAGCACGGGAGCGAGUGAUUCAUGCCGCAGAGCCUGCCAAUGCUCAUGGGGAGGAGAGCGACUCACCCCGCUGGGACAAAUAUUAUUUUUAAAAGUCUGGGAAAGGAAAACAACAAUAAAACCACCCGAGCUCAGGAUGACUGGUGAGGUUUGAGAUGCAGGGAAGGGUUGAAAUCAAUCUGCGAGUUGGACAUUUGAGGCCAAAUAAACCAACAAAGAACUCGAUUCAAUUACAAAAGUUUAGAAUUGGAUGGUGAGUCAGAAGCUGAGAGCCCAAGAGGUCUAAUCGGGUCUGUGCAUGGCCUGGAGUCCAGGACCCAGAGGAAUGGACUCUGGAAGGCUGGUUCCUGGUGGCGAUAGGAAAAGGCAGAACAUGUGAGUCAGAGCACGCAAAUGUGACAGUCCAAGUGGGGACAGCCCUUGGACAUCUUGGUGUAUGUAGGUAGGAGACUCUUUUCUUAAUAAGAAACCCAAUUAGGACCAGAUAGGAUUUGGGGUGUAGCAAAACCAAGGAGCCUGAGGCAGAAGUGAAGAGAAAGAAGCGAAAAAUCAAUGGUCAGGAGGCCCCUUGCAACAGCCACUGUUUAUCUCACAAGUGCGUUAAAGAGCAUCAUUUGCAAAGUUCGCGCAGAGGGAAAAGUCAAUGAUUGUGUCUCUGGCGACGCACAAAGCCCAGGAUGUGCUUCAUCUCCCAGCUGCCUCUCUGUGCAUGCACAGGAGAGGGACUGUUUGUGUGAAUCUCGGCUGCACCUCCCCCGUCCUCACUUCCUCCUCCUCCAUUCCAUUUGGAAGACGGGGAAGUGUGGUCACAGCUUUUUCUGAGGCACAGUGACUAUUCCAGCAGACCUGUGGUGACGUGUGCCUUGGGGUGGGUGUGGGGUGGGGAAUUUAUUGUUAGACGAAAAAUAAUCAAAGGUUUUCACACCCUCACGGGGCAAGGUGGGAAAUAAUUAAAACCAGACUAGGAUUCUCUGGCUGGAUUCAAGUCCCCCAUUAAACAGAAAUUCUGUCUGGA
Symphalangus syndactylus (siamang) is the source of this 4823-nucleotide long non-coding RNA. RefSeq lists it as uncharacterized. The record is from RefSeq and is a predicted model, not a curated record. NCBI's taxonomy places the organism in Eukaryota, Metazoa, Chordata, Mammalia, Primates, Hylobatidae.